UGGGGAAUAUUGCACAAUGGGCGAAAGCCUGAUGCAGCAACGCCGCGUGAGGGACGACGGCCUUCGGGUUGUAAACCUCUUUUAGCUAAGGAAGAAGCGAAAGUGACGGUACUUGCAGAAAAAGCGCCGGCUAACUACGUGCCAGCAGCCGCGGUAAUACGUAGGGCGCAAGCGUUAUCCGGAAUUAUUGGGCGUAAAGAGCUCGUAGGCGGUUUGUCGCGUCUGCUGUGAAAACCCGAGGCUCAACCUCGGGCCUGCAGUGGGUACGGGCAGACUAGAGUGCGGUAGGGGAGAUUGGAACUCCUGGUGUAGCGGUGGAAUGCGCAGAUAUCAGGAAGAACACCGAUGGCGAAGGCAGAUCUCUGGGCCGUAACUGACGCUGAGGAGCGAAACGGGUGGGGAGCAAACAGGCUUAGAUGACCUGGUAGUCCACCCCGUAAACCGUUGGGGAACUAGUUUGUGGGGUCCAUUCCACGGAUUCCGUGACGCAGCUAACGCAUUAAGUU
RNAcentral lists this ribosomal RNA (506 nucleotides) under uncultured bacterium. Its description in RNAcentral is "partial 16S ribosomal RNA". It matches the Rfam family "Bacterial small subunit ribosomal RNA", at positions 355 to 866 of the family's 1533-position model. The record is from RNAcentral.